UCCCAAAGUCAUGGUUAAGUGGGAAACGAUGUGGGAAGGCCCAGACAGCCAGGAUGUUGGCUUAGAAGCAGCCAUCAUUUAAAGAAAGCGUAAUAGCUCACUGGUCGAGUCGGCCUGCGCGGAAGAUGUAACGGGGCUAAACCAUGCACCGAAGCUGCGGCAGCGAACGUAUCACUUAAAGCGAUUCAGCGGGUUACGAUUGACGGAGCGAAGCGACGUCAAAGCGUAUACAAAGUCGAGUCGGUUUAAGGAUACGUUCGUUGGGUAGGGGAGCGUUCUGUAAGCCUGUGAAGGUGGCCUGUGAGGGUUGCUGGAGGUAUCAGAAGUGCGAAUGCUGACAUAAGUAACGAUAAAGCGGGUGAAAAGCCCGCUCGCCGGAAGACCAAGGGUUCCUGUCCAACGUUAAUCGGGGCAGGGUGAGUCGACCCCUAAGGCGAGGCCGAAAGGCGUAGUCGAUGGGAAACGGGUUAAUAUUCCCGUACUUGGUGUUACUGCGAAGGGGGGACGGAGAAGGCUAUGUUGGCCGGGCGACGGUUGUCCCGGUUUAAGCGUGUAGGUGUGUGUUCCAGGUAAAUCCGGUUCACUUUAACACUGAGGCGUGACGACGAGGCACUACGGUGCUGAAGCAACAAAUGCCCUGCUUCCAGGAAAAGCCUCUAAGCAUCAGGUAACAUCAAAUCGUACCCCAAACCGACACAGGUGGUCAGGUAGAGAAUACCAAGGCGCUUGAGAGAACUCGGGUGAAGGAACUAGGCAAAAUGGUGCCGUAACUUCGGGAGAAGGCACGCUGACACGUAGGUGAAGUGAUUUACUCAUGGAGCUGAAGUCAGUCGAAGAUACCAGCUGGCUGCAACUGUUUAUUAAAAACACAGCACUGUGCAAACACGAAAGUGGACGUAUACGGUGUGACGCCUGCCCGGUGCCGGAAGGUUAAUUGAUGGGGUCAGCGCAAGCGAAGCUCCUGAUCGAAGCCCCGGUAAACGGCGGCCGUAACUAUAACGGUCCUAAGGUAGCGAAAUUCCUUGUCGGGUAAGUUCCGACCUGCACGAAUGGCGUAAUGAUGGCCAGGCUGUCUCCACCCGAGACUCAGUGAAAUUGAACUCGCUGUGAAGAUGCAGUGUACCCGCGGCAAGACGGAAAGACCCCGUGAACCUUUACUAUAGCUUGACACUGAACAUUGAGCCUUGAUGUGUAGGAUAGGUGGGAGGCUUUGAAGUGUGGACGCCAGUCUGCAUGGAGCCGACCUUGAAAUACCACCCUUUAAUGUUUGAUGUUCUAACGUGGACCCGUUACCCGGGUUGCGGACAGUGUCUGGUGGGUAGUUUGACUGGGGCGGUCUCCUCCUAAAGAGUAACGGAGGAGCACGAAGGUUGGCUAAUCCUGGUCGGACAUCAGGAGGUUAGUGCAAUGGCAUAAGCCAGCUUGACUGCGAGCGUGACGGCGCGAGCAGGUGCGAAAGCAGGUCAUAGUGAUCCGGUGGUUCUGAAUGGAAGGGCCAUCGCUCAACGGAUAAAAGGUACUCCGGGGAUAACAGGCUGAUACCGCCCAAGAGUUCAUAUCGACGGCGGUGUUUGGCACCUCGAUGUCGGCUCAUCACAUCCUGGGGCUGAAGUAGGUCCCAAGGGUAUGGCUGUUCGCCAUUUAAAGUGGUACGCGAGCUGGGUUUAGAACGUCGUGAGACAGUUCGGUCCCUAUCUGCCGUGGGCGCUGGAGAACUGAGGGGGGCUGCUCCUAGUACGAGAGGACCGGAGUGGACGCAUCACUGGUGUUCGGGUUGUCAUGCCAAUGGCACUGCCCGGUAGCUAAAUGCGGAAGAGAUAAGUGCUGAAAGCAUCUAAGCACGAAACUUGCCCCGAGAUGAGUUCU
RNAcentral lists this ribosomal RNA (1866 nucleotides) under Salmonella enterica subsp. enterica serovar Manhattan. RNAcentral describes it as "bacterial LSU rRNA". It matches the Rfam family "Bacterial large subunit ribosomal RNA", at positions 1045 to 2812 of the family's 2925-position model. The record is from RNAcentral. Lineage: Bacteria; Pseudomonadati; Pseudomonadota; Gammaproteobacteria; Enterobacterales; Enterobacteriaceae.